RNAcentral lists this ribosomal RNA (319 nucleotides) under uncultured bacterium. RNAcentral's name for it is "bacterial SSU rRNA". It matches the Rfam family "Bacterial small subunit ribosomal RNA", at positions 28 to 356 of the family's 1533-position model. The record is from RNAcentral.
GAUAAACGCUGGCGGCGUGCCUAACACAUGCAAGUCGAACGCCCUUUUGCGCAAGUGAGAGGGAGUGGCGGACGGGUGAGUAGCACGUGGGUACCUACCCCAAGAUGAGGAAUACCACCGAGAAAUCGGUGACAAGACCGCAUACCUUCGGCCACGAAGAAAGCUUCUCCUCACGAGAGGCGUCUUGGGAUGGGCCUGCGCCUGAUUAGCUGGUUGGUGAGGUAACAGCUCACCAAGGCGACGAUCAGUAGCUGGUCUGAGAGGAUGAUCAGCCACACUGGGAUUGAGAACGGCCCAGACUCCUACGGGGGCAGCAGUG